UAAAUCAGUUAUGGUUCACUAGAUCGUAUGAAUUACAUGGAUAACUGUGGUAAUUCUAGAGCUAAUACAUGCAUCAUGCUCGGCUGCCUUGUGCAGCGAGCGCAGUUAUUAGAACAAAACCAAUCCGGCCUCGGUCGGUAAAUUGGUGACUCUGAAUAACCGAAGCGGAGCGCUAAGGUCUCGUACCGGCGCCAGAUCUUUCAAGUGUCUGACUUAUCAGCUUGUUGCGAGGUUAUGUUCCUCGCAUGGCUCUUACGGGUGACGGGGAAUCAGGGUCCGAUUCCGGAGAGGGAGCCUGAGAAACGGCUACCACAUCCAAGGAAGGCAGCAGGCGCGCAAAUUACCCACUCCCGGCACGGGGAGGUAGUGACGAAAAAUAACGAUGCGAGAGCUUCAAGCUUUUCGUAAUCGGAAUGGGUACACUUUAAAUCCUUUAACGAGGAUCUAUUGGAGGGCAAGUCUGGUGCCAGCAGCCGCGGUAAUUCCAGCUCCAAUAGCGUAUAUUAAAGUUGCUGCGGUUAAAAAGCUCGUAGUUGGAUCCGGGUAGUCGACGUGCGGUUGGCUCAAAAGCUGUACUGCAUGCUCGGCGCCACUAUCCGGCAUGUCUUGCAUGUUCUUCACUGAGCGUGCUUGGCGGCUGGAACGUUUACUUUGAAAAAAUUAGAGUGCUUAAAGCAGGCAUAUGGCCUUGCAUAAUGGUGCAUGGAAUAAUGGAAUAGGACAUCGGUCCUAUUUUGUUGGUUUUCGGGUUCGAUGUAAUGAUUAAGAGGAACAGACGGGGACAUU
RNAcentral lists this ribosomal RNA (786 nucleotides) under Hexapodibius sp. MC-2011. RNAcentral's name for it is "SSU rRNA". It matches the Rfam family "Eukaryotic small subunit ribosomal RNA", at positions 102 to 892 of the family's 1831-position model. Lineage: Eukaryota; Metazoa; Tardigrada; Eutardigrada; Parachela; Hexapodibiidae. The record is from RNAcentral.